UACGUAGGUGGCAAGCGUUGUCCGGAUUUACUGGGUGUAAAGGGCGCGUAGGCGGGCUCGUAAGUCAGACGUGAAAUACCGGGGCUCAACCCCGGGGCUGCGUUUGAAACUGCGAGUCUUGAGUGCCGGAGAGGAAAGCGGAAUUCCUAGUGUAGCGGUGAAAUGCGUAGAUAUUAGGAGGAACACCGGUGGCGAAGGCGGCCAACUGGGCUUUAACUGACGCUGAGGCUCGAAAGUGUGGGGAGCAAACAGG
Molecule: ribosomal RNA, 253 nt
Filed under: uncultured bacterium
Lineage: Bacteria
Description: partial 16S ribosomal RNA
Rfam family: Bacterial small subunit ribosomal RNA
Source: RNAcentral